GUUGUGCUACGCCCCCUGGGUCCCAGUGCCGCAGCUCCCACAGGGCAGCUGACCUUUGAAGCUCGGCUCUCUAAAAGCGUGCCUGAAACCCAGAAUUUGAGUCGGAUCUUGCAAGAGGCAUCGCGAGUUGGGCCCGGCCUGAGGUGCGGGGCGACGGAUACGAGAGAAGGGCACCUGAGGAUGAACUCUGAAAGACCCUUUUAGUGGAGGGACUUGUGGUUUACCUGGUGUAAACCGGAGGCGUGCUCUAGCCAGAUCGCGUUUUUUGCCUACAGUGUAAGUACUUUCUUCCUGCAAGAUGGUGACCGCAAACCAGGGUGUUUACUUGAGCAGCAUCUUAGAGGAGGAGAGAGGACUUAAAGAAAUUGAACCACAGAGAAAAUUAAGGAAGUUACCUACAAUCCUCAUCCUGGCUGGAGCUGCUAUUUUGAACUGUCACUUCCUCAGUGAGGCCUUCCUGGAUCAUCUGGUUUAAAAUGAGUGGCUCAUUUGGUGAAGCGUCUACUUUGGCUCAGGUUGUGAUCUCAGGGUGCUGGGAUCAAGACCUGCAUCCAGCUCCCUGCUCAGUGGGGAGCCUGCUUGUCCCUAUUCCUCUGCCUCCUGCUUGUGCUCUCUUGCAAAUAAAUAAAUCUUCAAAAAUAAACUAAAAUAAAAUUGCAACGCAUAUGCAAUUCUCAGCGUAUUUUCCUCCACGGCACUUACCUCCAUAUUUAGUGCUGUAUAACUUACGAAUUAUAAAAUCAUCUCCCCACCCUAGUAUGUAAGUUCCUAGAGAAUGAGGGUGUUUAUGCAGCACUUAGAAUAGUGCUUGGCACACACAGUGGAUGCUCAGUAAGCAUGUGUUGAAUGAAUGAGCAGAUGUGGAAUAAAAGGAGAGGCUGGUGUGCAGAAAGCAGAAUGAAGACAAUAUGCAGAGAGAGAAAGAGACAAGAGGGAGAGAUUGCCCUGAUCACACCCUGUCCCUUUCUGAGCUCUGGUUCUCUUCCUACCCUAGCUUCUGUCAGAGGCACCUGUGUCUGUUAUAAAUCCAUCCCCAUGCCCUCUGUUGAAGUUUGGAAUAAACAAAGUUGCUCUUUGUUUCUUGCAGUUAAAUAUCUCUUAGCUGAGAUAGCACCCCGUUUCUUCUGCCAGAAAUACCUUUUUAUCCUUGUCUAAAAACUCAAUCUCAUUUUUAAAAAUUUAUUUAUUUGACAGACAGAGAUCACAGGUAGGCAGGCAGGCAGAGAGGAGGAAGUAGGCUCCCUGCUGAGCAGAGACUGAUGCGGGGCUCAAUCCCAGAACCCUGAGACCAUGACCUGAGCUGAAGGCAGAGGCUUUAAUCCACUGAGCCACCCAGGAGCCCCCUCAAUCUCAUUUUUUAUUAAAAAGUCAUCAGUCAAGCUGCCCCUGGCUAUCCCAGGCCAUUACGUGUGUUCUGUGAAAGGGGGGUGUAUGCAAAAGGACCACCAAAGGUCAAAGAAGUCACAAGACCCGAGAGAAAGGAUGACAAGUCUAGCUUGGCAAGUAAUGGCUUAUUAGGGGGACAGAUGUUUCUUUGGCUGCCACGGUACAAGUAGACUUGCACGUGUCUCCUGUCUCCAGGGCAGAUCAAGGAUGCUAUGCCCUAAGGGUAUACUUAAGGAUGUGGUUAAACAAAAGGAAAGAAUGGGGGGACCUGUGCUCAAGAAAGUUUCAGGUCACAAAACAGUCAUCCUGGCGGAUUUGUCCAAGAUAGACAUGAAACAUGAAACAUUUACCAAAACUUUUGUCCUUCGGGUGGGGAUCACUUUUCCUUCCUAAGGUAGUGCCUGGCACAUGGUGAACACAAUACAGGCUACCGAAUAAACAAAGGAGGGAGGAGGUCUAGGUCUGGCACAUUCUAAAUUGGGAAAAAGUGAAUUUGUGAUGAGAUUCUGCUCACACACAAGUAUCAAAGUAGACAAUUCAACAUUUGGAUGGUGAAGACUAUAUGCAGACUAUACAUUUCUACAUGGAAAAAAGAAACAGAAUGAAAAUGAAUUUCCCCAAAUAAAUUAUAGUUUGUUGUGUUUUUUUUUUUUUUAAGAUUAUUUAUUUAUUUAUUUGAUAGACAGAGAUUACAAGUAGUCAG
Lutra lutra (Eurasian river otter) is the source of this 2089-nucleotide long non-coding RNA. RefSeq lists it as uncharacterized. The transcript is spliced from 3 exons. NCBI's taxonomy places the organism in Eukaryota, Metazoa, Chordata, Mammalia, Carnivora, Mustelidae. The record is from RefSeq and is a predicted model, not a curated record.